This 72-nucleotide transfer RNA is filed under the name Toxocara canis (dog roundworm). It matches the Rfam family "tRNA". From Rfam's summary of the family: Transfer RNA (tRNA) molecules are approximately 80 nucleotides in length. Their secondary structure includes four short double-helical elements and three loops (D, anti-codon, and T loops). The record is from Rfam by way of RNAcentral. Lineage: Eukaryota; Metazoa; Nematoda; Chromadorea; Rhabditida; Toxocaridae.
CGGGCAGUAGCUCAGUGGUAGAGCUCCCCCUUCGUGUGCGGGAAGACUUAAGUUCGAUUCUCGGCUGCUUAC